AUGGCAUCCUCGGGGAAGAUGGAGGGGCCGUCGGCGCCAGCGCUCCGACGGGACCCGUAUGAGGUGCUCUCCGUAUCAAGAGACUCCUCCGACCAGGAGAUCAAGUCCGCCUACCGCAAGCUCGCGCUCAAGUAUCACCCGGACAAAAAUGCUAGCAACCCAGAAGCAUCAGAGCUGUUCAAAGAAGUUGCAUAUUCGUACAGUAUCUUGUCAGAUCCUGAGAAACGGAGGCAAUAUGAUACUGCUGGUUUUGAGGCGUUGGAAAAUGAAGGAAUGGAUAUGGAGAUUGAUUUGUCCAAUCUUGGAACUGUGAACACAAUGUUUGCUGCACUUUUCAGCAAGCUCGGGGUUCCUAUCAAGACGACGGUAUCUCCUACUGUUCUUGAAGAAGCUAUGAAUGGAACAGUGACAGUGAGACCACUCCCAGUUGGGACAUCAGCUAUGGGAAAGGUUGAAAAGCAAUCUGCUCAUUUCUUUGGUGUGACAAUAAGUGAAGAGCAAGCUCAUUCAGGAAUAGUAGUUAGAGCCACUUCAGUUGCACAAAGUAAAUUUAAGCUUCUUUUCUUCGAACAAGAAAUCAACGGAGGCUAUGGACUAGCUCUACAGGAAGAUAGUCAGAAGACUGGCAAGGUGACAUCUGCAGGCAUGUAUUUCCUGCAUUUUCAAGUCUACCGUAUGGACUCGACAGUGAAUGCGUUGGCAAUGGCUAAAGAUCCUGAGGCUGCAUUCUUUAAAAGAUUGGAAGGUCUCCAACCUUGCGAAGUCUCGACACUUAAACCUGGAACUCAUAUAUUUGCUGUAUAUGGUGACAAUUUUUUCAAGCCAGCUAGCUAUACAAUUGAAGCAAUGUGCGCAAAGAGUUACGAAGACACAACAGAGAGGCUAAAAGAAAUAGAGGCUAAAAUUCUGGAGAAAAGAAAUGAUCUGCGUCAAUUCGAAACUGAGUACAGAAAAGCUUUGGCACAGUUUCAGGAAGCGACCGCCAGAUAUACACAAGAAAAAGAAGUGGUUGAUGAUAUGUUGAGAGAAAGGGAUGACAUCCAUUCUUCGUUCACGACCGAACGAACUAUCACGAGCUCUCUCGGAGCUGGUAGCAGCAGCAGUAGAUAUCCAGUUGAGCAAAACAAAACUGAGAGUCCGGAGAACGGUAACAUAGAUAGCAGGGACAAAUCGAGUAAAAAGAAGUGGUUUAAUCUAAAUCUUAAUAGAUCUGACAAGAGAGCCUGA
This 1227-nucleotide ribosomal RNA is filed under the name Triticum aestivum (bread wheat). Its description in RNAcentral is "partial small subunit ribosomal RNA". Lineage: Eukaryota; Viridiplantae; Streptophyta; Magnoliopsida; Poales; Poaceae. The record is from RNAcentral.